Molecule: ribosomal RNA, 1152 nt
Filed under: metagenome
Description: SSU rRNA
Rfam family: Eukaryotic small subunit ribosomal RNA
Source: RNAcentral
AUUCCAGCUCCGCAGGUGUAUAUCUAUGCUGCUGCGGUUUAAAAGCUCGUAGUUGGAUCUGCGUGCUCGGAACUGGUUGGCUCACUGAGUUCAAACUGGUCUCCGGCGCUUUAUUGGCUGGUUUUCCCUUGAUGCUCUUAACCGGGUGUCUUGGGUGGCUAGCACGUUUACUUUGAAAAAAUUAGAGUGCUCAAUACAGGCGUAAAGCCUUGAAUAGUGGUGCAUGGAAUAAUAGAAUAGGACCUCGGCUCUAUUUUGUUGGUUUUCGGAACGCGAGGUAAUGAUUAAGAGGGACAGACGGGGGCAUUCGUAUUGCGACGUUAGAGGUGAAAUUCUUGGAUCGUCGCAAGACGGACGACUGCGAAAGCAUUUGCCAAGAAUGUUUUCAUUAAUCAAGAACGAAAGUUAGAGGUUCGAAGGCGAUCAGAUACCGCCCUAGUUCUAACCGUAAACGAUGCCAACUAGCGAUUCGCAGGCGUUAAACAACGACCUUGCGGGCAGCUUCCCGGAAACGAAAGUGUUCGGGUUCCGGGGGAAGUAUGGUUGCAAAGCUGAAACUUAAAGGAAUUGACGGAAGGGCACCACCAGGAGUGGAGCCUGCGGCUUAAUUUGACCCAACACGGGAAAACUCACCCGGCCCGGACACCGUAAGGAUUGACAGAUUGAGAGCUCUUUCUUGAUUCGGUGGGUGGUGGUGCAUGGCCGUUCUUAGUUGGUGGAGCGAUUUGUCUGGUUUAUUCCGAUAACUAACGAGACUCUGGCCUACUAAAUAGUGGGCGGAUUCUUUCUGUCCGCAACACUACUUAGAGGGACAAGCGGUGUUCAGCCGCACGGGAUUGAGCAAUAACAGGUCUGUGAUGCCCUUAGAUGUCCGGGGCUGCACGCGCGCUACACUGAAGGAAUCAGCGUGCUUUCUGACCUUGCCCGAAAGGGCUGGGUAACCCGAUGAAAAUCCUUCGUGAUUGGGAUAGGGACUUGCAAUUAUUUCCCUUGAACGAGGAAUUCCCAGUAAGUGUGGGUCAUAAGCUCGCGUUGAUUACGUCCCUGCCCUUUGUACACACCGCCCGUCGCUGCCCGGAACUGAGCCGUUUCGAGAAGAACAGGGACCGUCGUUGAAGGGCCUUAACGGGCUUUUCUCUGAUAGAAACUGUU